RNAcentral lists this ribosomal RNA (433 nucleotides) under uncultured bacterium. RNAcentral's name for it is "partial 16S ribosomal RNA". It matches the Rfam family "Bacterial small subunit ribosomal RNA", at positions 29 to 507 of the family's 1533-position model. The record is from RNAcentral.
AGCGAACGCUGGCGGCAGGCCUAACACAUGCAAGUCGAACGAACUCUUCGGAGUUAGUGGCGGACGGGUGAGUAACACGUGGGAACGUGCCUUUAGGUUCGGAAUAACUCAGGGAAACUUGUGCUAAUACCGAAUGUGCCCUUCGGGGGAAAGAUUUAUCGCCUUUAGAGCGGCCCGCGUCUGAUUAGCUAGUUGGUGAGGUAAAGGCUCACCAAGGCGACGAUCAGUAGCUGGUCUGAGAGGAUGAUCAGCCACAUUGGGACUGAGACACGGCCCAAACUCCUACGGGAGGCAGCAGUGGGGAAUCUUGCGCAAUGGGCGAAAGCCUGACGCAGCCAUGACGCGUGAAUGAUGAAGGUCUUAGGAUUGUAAAAUUCUUUCACCGGGGACGAUAAUGACGGUACCCGGAGAAGAAGCCCCGGCUAACUUCGUG